GUCUGCUUAGCUGUUUCGUCUAUGUUUGUGUGUUAAUAUGCGGGCCGUGGCUUGCGCCACCCGCCAAAACAUUCAAUGUUGGGGUGUAUGUGGAUUUCAAUAAUGAUCCAUCCGCAGGUUCACCUACGGAUA
Molecule: unclassified non-coding RNA, 132 nt
Filed under: uncultured fungus
Lineage: Eukaryota; Fungi
Description: sequence contains ITS1
Source: RNAcentral